This is a non-coding RNA of Bemisia tabaci, 1393 nucleotides long. Lineage: Eukaryota; Metazoa; Arthropoda; Insecta; Hemiptera; Aleyrodidae. The record is from RefSeq and is a predicted model, not a curated record.
UGUAGUUUGUGACAGCGGUGUAUGGAAGUUUAAUUUCUCCUGUCUGGUAUUGUAGUCAAAUUUUUCAAUUCUCGCAAGUGUGCUCUUUAGCCCUCGACCGCGAUUACGAGAAUGAAGGCCCUAUCGGAGGAGACGGACAUGUAAUUGAAGCGGACGAAAUGAAGCUCGGAAGAAGGACAUAUCAUCGCGGUCGAGUGGUAGAAGGAAGUUGGGUGUGGGGUUUGAUCGGGACAUGAAAGACUUUCGUUUGGAAAUUUGCCCUGGGAAUAAGAGAGACGAGAAAACCUUCCGGAAAUUCUUUAAUAAACAUGUGUUAAAGGAAACUACAGUGAAUACAGACGGCUGGGCGGCAGACGCGUUCCUUAAGGAUGACUGCUAUAUCAACGAGGUAAUGGAACAUAAACAUACUUUUGUGACACCCUCAGGAAUCCAUACGAACGCUAUUGAGUCCCAGUGGAGGCCGUUCAGGCGCUGCCUUGCACGAGGAGGAGUAAAACCAGAAAAUCUUGCGGAUCACUUGUGCGAAUACCUUUGGCGAUUCGAGCAGCGGGAAAUGAAGAAGGACCCAUUUAUGGCGCUUCUCAAUGAACUAGUGAAGGUGUACAACCCCAAUAACCCGGCAGUGUAGGAGAGAAAUCAAGAAGCCUCGGUACACGGAGGUACAAAGUUCAAGUCUAACUUCAGGUUUCCUGUUCCUGUUGAUCCUGUAUGGAGAGAGGCUCAAUUAUGCUUAACUUCUGGAUUCUGGCAAUCCUCGUGACCUGUAGUCAUCUCCAACAGAGUGAUUAACUUAUGGCUUCCAGUCUUAUUGCCCUCAAAAACGUCGCUGCCUUAGUUCUUUUCCACCAGACUCAGUGGGACAAUGGACACUUUGACACCUAUCUUGAAGUCUUCCGCACCCCUGAUAUACUGCAGCCUCAGAACCAAGGUCAGAAUGGACAAGUGCCCCGGUGAAACUCCUCCUACAGCUUUGCUUUGAAAGAGAAGCUGAAUUCGCCAGGCCAAGUUGUGGAAAGGCCAAAAUUUGGGAAAAAAUAGCAAAGACGAUGAAAGAUCUGUACGGAUACAAAUUUAGUGGCCCCGAUUGUUCCAAAAAAUUUAGUAAUCUCCGGACUACCUACCUGACGACCAGGAAAAGGUUAAGACUGACAGGUGCAAGCGGUGAUGGUAAGCCCGAUGAGUUAGAUGAAAAUGAUGAGAACGGUGAUGAAGCGGGAAUAAUGUUGGAUACAAAGGAAAGUAACCAGGGGACAAAGUGGGAGUUUUACCAGAUCUCCCGAGAAAAUUUUGGGUCAAAAGCCAGUGUUGAGCCGGGUGCUCACCUUCUAGGUGCAACUUUUAAUGCAGCACCAAAACCUGCAGCUGCUAGAACUGCCUGCAGACCCUUACUAGA